UACGGAGGAUGCGAGCGUUAUCCGGAUUUAUUGGGUUUAAAGGGUGCGUAGGCGGACGCUUAAGUCAGCGGUAAAAUUGCGGGGCUCAACCUCGUCGAGCCGUUGAAACUGGGUGCCUUGAGUGGGCGAGAAGUACGCGGAAUGCGUGGUGUAGCGGUGAAAUGCAUAGGUAUCACGCAGAACUCCGAUUGCGAAGGCAGCGUACCGGCGCCCAACUAACGCUGAAGCACGAAGGCGUGGGUAUCGAACAGG
This 252-nucleotide ribosomal RNA is filed under the name uncultured bacterium. RNAcentral's name for it is "partial 16S ribosomal RNA". It matches the Rfam family "Bacterial small subunit ribosomal RNA", at positions 524 to 776 of the family's 1533-position model. The record is from RNAcentral.